RNAcentral lists this ribosomal RNA (789 nucleotides) under Bacillus subtilis. RNAcentral's name for it is "bacterial SSU rRNA". It matches the Rfam family "Bacterial small subunit ribosomal RNA", at positions 565 to 1350 of the family's 1533-position model. Lineage: Bacteria; Bacillati; Bacillota; Bacilli; Caryophanales; Bacillaceae. The record is from RNAcentral.
GGGCUCCGCAGGCGGUUUCUUAAGUCCUGAAUGUGAAAGCCCCCGGCUCAACCGGGGAAGGGUCAUUGGAAACUGGGGAACUUGAGUGCAGAAGAGGAGAGUGGAAUUCCACGUGUAGCGGUGAAAUGCGUAGAGAUGUGGAGGAACACCAGUGGCGAAGGCGACUCUCUGGUCUGUAACUGACGCUGAGGAGCGAAAGCGUGGGGAGCGAACAGGAUUAGAUACCCUGGUAGUCCACGCCGUAAACGAUGAGUGCUAAGUGUUAGGGGGUUUCCGCCCCUUAGUGCUGCAGCUAACGCAUUAAGCACUCCGCCUGGGGAGUACGGUCGCAAGACUGAAACUCAAAGGAAUUGACGGGGGCCCGCACAAGCGGUGGAGCAUGUGGUUUAAUUCGAAGCAACGCGAAGAACCUUACCAGGUCUUGACAUCCUCUGACAAUCCUAGAGAUAGGACGUCCCCUUCGGGGGCAGAGUGACAGGUGGUGCAUGGUUGUCGUCAGCUCGUGUCGUGAGAUGUUGGGUUAAGUCCCGCAACGAGCGCAACCCUUGAUCUUAGUUGCCAGCAUUCAGUUGGGCACUCUAAGGUGACUGCCGGUGACAAACCGGAGGAAGGUGGGGAUGACGUCAAAUCAUCAUGCCCCUUAUGACCUGGGCUACACACGUGCUACAAUGGACAGAACAAAGGGCAGCGAAACCGCGAGGUUAAGCCAAUCUCACAAAUCUGUUCUCAGUUCGGAUCGCAGUCUGCAACUCGACUGCGUGAAGCUGGAAUCGCUAGUAAUCGCGGAUC